UACGGAGGGUGCAAGCAUUAAUCGGAUUUAUUGGGCGUAAAGGGCGCGUAGGCUGGUUUGUAAGUCAGAUGUGAAAUCCCGGGGCUCAACCUCGGAACAGCAUUUGAAACUGCAUACCUAGAGGGUAGGCGGAGAAAACGGAAUUCCACAAGUAGCGGUGAAAUGCGUAGAUAUGUGGAAGAACACCGGUGGCGAAGGCGGUUUUCUAGCUUACUCCUGACGCUGAGGCGCGAAAGCAAGGGGAUCAAACAGG
RNAcentral lists this ribosomal RNA (253 nucleotides) under uncultured bacterium. Its description in RNAcentral is "partial 16S ribosomal RNA". It matches the Rfam family "Bacterial small subunit ribosomal RNA", at positions 524 to 776 of the family's 1533-position model. The record is from RNAcentral.